GCCCACGUGACUCCACAGCCCAAAGUGUCCUCGGGCAAGACACUGAACUCCAAGUUGCUCCCCAUGGCAAGUUAGCGCCUUGCAUGGCAGCUCUGCUACCAUUGGUGUGAGUGUGUGUGUGUGUGUGUGUGAGUGUGUGUGUGAGUGUGUGAGUGUGUGUGUGUGUGUGAGUGUGUGAGUGUGUGUGUGAGUGUGUGUGAGUGUGUGUGAGUGUGUGUGAGUGUGUGUGAGUGUGUGUGUGAGUGUGUGUGUGUGAGUGUGUGUGUGUGUGAGUGUGUGUGUGUGAGUGUGUGUGUGUGAGUGUGUGUGUGUGAGUGUGUGUGUGUGAGUGUGUGUGUGUGAGUGUGUGUGUGUGAGUGUGUGAGUGAGUGUGUGAGUGAGUGUUGUGAGUGAGUGUGUGAGUGAGUGUGUGAGUGAGUGUGUGAGUGAGUGUGAGUGAGUGAGUGUGUGAGUGUGUGUGUGUGUGUGGAGUGUGUGUGUGAGAGUGUGUGUGUGAGAGUGUGGUUGUGAGUGUGUGUGUGAGAGUGUGUGUGUGAGAGUGUGUGUGUGAGAGUGUGGUGUGAGAGUGUGUGUGUGAGAGUGUGUGUGUGAGAGUGUGUGUGUGAGAGUGUGUGUGAGUGAGUGUGUGUGUGUGAGUGUGUGUGUGUGAGUGUGUGUGUGUGAGUGUGUGUGUGUGAGUGUGUGUGUGUGAGAGUGUGUGUGUGAGAGUGUGUGUGUGAGAGUGUGUGUGUGAGAGUGUGUGUGAGAGUGUGUGUGUGAGAGUGUGUGUGUGAGAGUGUGUGUGUGAGAGUGUGUGUGUGAGAGUGUGUGUGUGAGAGUGUGUGUGUGAGAGUGUGUGUGUGUGAGAGUGUGUGUGUGUGAGUGAGUGUGUGUGUGUGAGUGAGUGUGUGUGUGUGAGUGUGUGUGUGUGAGUGUGUGUGUGUGUGUGAAUGGGUGAACGAGACACCGUGUAAAGCGCUUUGGAAGCGCUAAUGUUAAAAAAGCGCUAUAUACGUGCAGACCAUUUAGUGCUGCAGAAACGGACCCCAUUGUGGUAAACAAAAUGUUUACAGUUAGUUCAUUGUAUAAUUAAAUAAUUUAAUUCAAUUGAAAGUUAUUGAGUGCCAGUAAUAUUUGCCGAAGUAAUAUUUGUGAUCCGUAUGCACCACUGACGAAUGUCUGUUUGCCGUUUUCUGCCGUUAAAUCUCUGACGAAUGAACGGAAGAGUUCUGUGAGUACAUUUUCAGCCCUACGUGACCAAAUAGCAAAUGAACUAAAAGUGUCCUUUGAUUUGGGUUCAAGCAACCGACUAGUCAUUGUUUCUAUAGCAUGUAUAUCCAAGAAAAAAACUAAACUGCAGCUCUCCAUAGAGCGAUUUUGUGGCUGAGGGAAAAGAACGAUGCUUAUUAAAAACCCUGAAAUGGCCUUCAACCAUCAAAACAAAAAAAAAGGUUCACUGAUAAAACCAUUAAUAACUUAAAUCACUUUGAUAAAAUCGAAAAGAAACCAGAGAAACGUCUAAUCGUGCAAGCUUUCUAAAUAAAGGAUUGACAUUUGUAUGUGUCAAACGGCCAUCUUAGGAAUUCUGGAAGUCAUGCUGGACUUACAUCAACAGCACUGCAAUCUGUGCAUCUUUAGAGUACGACAAGGGAGAGUACGGGGUAAAGCGUCUUGCUCUAGUUGUUAUUACAUAGCUUUUAUAGGAAAGGGCUCCGGGGGAAUUUGUAGAGAGAGUGGAAAGGGAAUGGUGCUCAUAACCACGAUAAAAGCUCUCCUGGGGCCGGAGAGACACUUUAAGUCCACUGACCAUCAUGAUCAGACUGAGAUUUCAUGGCAAUGAGUUGUCUUUCAUAAAAAUCCAUGAUGGAAGAAAUUGUUUCCAGUUCUACAGGGAGGCGCUCGGGGUACUCUCAGUCUCUCUGGCUCUUUCCAAUACCCUACAUGAGCAGUUAUCCCCGAGCAUUUUAUUCUAUUAUUUAUUUUAUUUCUUCAGAUUAAUACUUGAUUCCGCUUAAAUACGUAACUGAAUUUUGUCAGCCACUGUUAUUUAUUUAAAUGAGUCAGACGUGUCGGUGAACAAGAGGCAUGUCGGGAGUUCAUGUUGAAUUCGUAUUGCGUGCACAUAUUUCAUUCAGAUCUUACCGCCGCCUCCACUGAAUCGUGCAUUUUUGCAUUAGAGUUAAGCAAACACUUUAAUCGAGCCACUUAAUUAGCCGACGCCGAGCACUAUAAACGAUGCUGUGGUAAAAUGAAGUGAUUGUGAAUGGUUGAAAUGUCAUGUUGAGAGUGCCGUGUUUUGUAAAGUGCCUAAUUCCCGCAGUCUGAGGUUUAUGUGGGAUGAUGCUACAGUGUCCCCUCUGAUUACUAUAAAUCUUUAUCACUUGCCUGCUGGCAAUAGACUGCUCGUGUGAAGAGGGCUACCAGUUUAGGUUCUUGCCAGCCAUAAAAAAAAAAAAAAAAACCCACACCUGGCUAGCAUGAUCUUGGCUGCUUUCAAUAGUUUACAUGCUAUGUUAUAUUUCAAAAUCCCACCACCAUUAUUUUCAAUUAUGACCGUGGACGAUUAUUAUUAAUUGCCUUAAUUCAUUUUGAAGGGAACAAUUGUCAGAGUAUAACCAGCAAAUUAGACCGUCA
Molecule: long non-coding RNA, 2613 nt
Organism: Ictalurus punctatus (channel catfish)
Lineage: Eukaryota; Metazoa; Chordata; Actinopteri; Siluriformes; Ictaluridae
Source: Ensembl